RNAcentral lists this ribosomal RNA (471 nucleotides) under uncultured bacterium. RNAcentral describes it as "bacterial SSU rRNA". It matches the Rfam family "Bacterial small subunit ribosomal RNA", at positions 330 to 793 of the family's 1533-position model. The record is from RNAcentral.
ACCAGACUCCUACGGGAGGCAGCAGUGGGGAAUAUUGCACAAUGGGCGCAAGCCUGAUGCAGCCAUGCCGCGUGUGUGAAGAAGGCCUUCGGGUUGUAAAGCACUUUCAGCGGGGAGGAAGGCAAUAAGGUUAAUAACCUUGUUGAUUGACGUUACCCGCAGAAGAAGCACCGGCUAACUCCGUGCCAGCAGCCGCGGUAAUACGGAGGGUGCAAGCGUUGUCCGGAAUCAUUGGGCGUAAAGAGUUCGUAGGCGGUAUGUUAAGUCUGGUGUUAAAUGCAGAAGCUCAACUUCUGUUCGGCACUGGAUACUGGCAAACUAGAAUGCGGUAGAGGUAAAGGGAAUUCCUGGUGUAGCGGUGAAAUGCUUAGAUAUCAGGAGGAGCAUCGGUGGCGUAAGCGCUUUACUGGGCCGUAAUUGACGCUGAGGAACGAAAGCCAGGGUAGCAAAUGGGAUUAGAUACCCGGGUAG